AGUCGAGGGGCACAUGGUCUUAGCUUGCUAAGGCUGAUGGCGACCGGCGCACGGGUGAGUAACACGUAUCCAACCUGCCGUCUACUCUUGGCCAGCCUUCUGAAAGGAAGAUUAAUCCAGGAUGGGAUCAUGAGUUCACAUGUCCGCAUGAUUAAAGGUAUUUUCCGGUAGACGAUGGGGAUGCGUUCCAUUAGAUAGUAGGCGGGGUAACGGCCCACCUAGUCAACGAUGGAUAGGGGUUCUGAGAGGAAGGUCCCCCACAUUGGAACUGGGACACGGUCCAAACUCCUACGGGAGGCAGCAGUGAGGAAUAUUGGUCAAUGGGCGAUGGCCUGAACCAGCCAAGUAGCGUGAAGGAUGACUGCCCUAUGGGUUGUAAACUUCUUUUAUAAAGGAAUAAAGUCGGGUAUGCAUACCCGUUUGCAUGUACUUUAUGAAUAAGGAUCGGCUAACUCCGUGCCAGCAGCCGCGGUAAUACGGAGGAUCCGAGCGUUAUCCGGAUUUAUUGGGUUUAAAGGGAGCGUAGAUGGAUGUUUAAGUCAGUUGUGAAAGUUUGCGGCUCAACCGUAAAAUUGCAGUUGAUACUGGAUGUCUUGAGUGCAGUUGAGGCAGGCGGAAUUCGUGGUGUAGCGGUGAAAUGCUUAGAUAUCACGAAG
This 656-nucleotide ribosomal RNA is filed under the name uncultured Bacteroidales bacterium. Its description in RNAcentral is "bacterial SSU rRNA". It matches the Rfam family "Bacterial small subunit ribosomal RNA", at positions 60 to 704 of the family's 1533-position model. The record is from RNAcentral. Lineage: Bacteria; Pseudomonadati; Bacteroidota; Bacteroidia; Bacteroidales.